Molecule: ribosomal RNA, 447 nt
Filed under: uncultured bacterium
Lineage: Bacteria
Description: partial 16S ribosomal RNA
Rfam family: Bacterial small subunit ribosomal RNA
Source: RNAcentral
AACGAACGCUGGCGGCAGGCUUAACACAUGCAAGUCGAGCGCCCCGCAAGGGGAGCGGCAGACGGGUGAGUAACGCGUGGGAAUCUACCCAUCACUACGGAACAACUCCGGGAAACUGGAGCUAAUACCGUAUACGUCCUUCGGGAGAAAGAUUUAUCGGUGAUGGAUGAGCCCGCGUUGGAUUAGCUAGUUGGUGGGGUAAUGGCCCACCAAGGCGACGAUCCACAGCUGGUCUGAGAGGAUGAUCAGCCACACUGGGACUGAGACACGGCCCAGACUCCUACGGGGGGCAGCAGUGGGGAAUAUUGGACAAUGGGCGCAAGCCUGAUCCAGCCAUGCCGCGUGAGUGAUGAAGGCCCUAGGGUUGUAAAGCUCUUUCACCGGUGAAGAUAAUGACGGUAGCCGGAGAAGAAGCCCCGGCUAACUUCGUGCCAGCCGCCGCCGUAA